CCAUUUUUCCUCUACCACUUGGCUAAGAAGCUGAGGAGGAACUGGCAGUGAGGGAGGAGGUUGAGAAUGAAAGUUCUGGAGAGUCACCUAAGAGACGGUAAACACAUACCUCAUGUCUUGGCUUCUAGAGCCCGGAGAUAAGAUCAGCUUCCCUUGAAAAUGUUAGCUCCCAUGCCACAUUUAGUCAAGACAACAAUAACAAAAGGCUUUCUUCAGGGAGGGCAGUGGAAGUGAGUUUGAGAUAAAAAGGAAUUUAUUUAUUUGCACCUAUGUAUUGUUCAGAAGUUUUAGGUCUUAUGAAAAAAAGAUUUUUAUAAAUUAUACACAAUUGGGUAGCUUUAAAAAAUACCAAAAUAUACAGUGGUCACCCUAAAACUAACAUUUUUGGAUAAUACACUUAUAAAUUGGAAAAUGAGAAAAGAUAGUCUGGUAUAACUGCCUGAACAACUUAUUAAGAACAUUAACAAGUAAUAACACAUAUUUUAAUGUAAUAUUGCUGACUAAUUUGGCACAUUUAAUACACGUCCAAUAUAUUUUCUAUGUACUGUGAAAGCUUUUGGGAAAAUAAAGCAGCUUGUGUUACAAAAACUGCAACCUUUCACAAAGGUUACCCACAAAAUACUUUUGCCUAGCCACUGCCUGUCCAACUUCAGAGUGGCACCACCCUUGCUAUUGAUCUUUGUAACCAACGACAAUUAUUUCAAAACAAUUAUACAACCCUCAUUUUUCUUUAAAAUCUUUGUCUUCCUUUACUUCCCUGAAUACACACGUAGUUUACCAUGACAUGGGUCUUUUUUUUUUUUUUUUGGAGACGUAGUUUUGCACUGUCGCCCAGGCUGGAGUGCAGUGGCACAUCUAGGCUCACUGCAACCUCCACUUCUCAGGUUCAAGCCAAUCUUCUGCCUCAGCCUCCCAAGUAGCGGGAUCAUAGGCACCCACCAAUACACCCAUCUAAUUUUUUGUAUUUUUAGUAGAGAGGGGGUUUCACUAUGUUGGCCAGGCUGGUCUCAAACUCCUGACCUCGUGAUCGGCCCACCUCAGCCUCCCAAAGUGCUGGGAUUACAGGCAUAAGCCACCGCGCACGGCCCAUGACAUGCGUAUUUCUACAGCAAUGCUGUAUUCCCAAAUAGAGUUUUCUUUUAGAGAGCCUCUCUCUGUGUUGACAUAAAUGGUGUUCAGCAGUAGAACCUGAAGUAGGACACAUUUCAGAGAGAAGUGGUGAUCUCAGAAUCAGUAUGCAGUACUCACAGGAGCCCUUUGGGCUCUCCGCUUACAUAGCUUGUCUGUUCUGCCCCAGUGAGUCUUUUCUCAGGCAGAGCCUCCCACUUUUGGCAGAGGCUUUUUGACUUGACUUUGGAUUUGUCUUGGUUCUAAGACCACUUUAAUAAAGGACUUUACAUCCCUCCUGGGAUGACAAAAGACUUUUUGUCUUUCCUGGCAAGUCCUUUUUGAUAUAAAGACAAGUGUCCCUCUGGUUUGAGUACUCUGGAUUUAAAAACAAUUUUUUUUUAGAGACAGUGUCUCACUAUACUGCUGAGGCUGGUCUUGAACUCAUGGGCUCAAGCGAUCCUCCUGCCUUGGCCUCCCAAAGUGCUGGGAUUACAGGCAUGGGCCACUGCGCCUGGCUGAGUACUCUGGAUUCUGAGGCAUGCCUUUUCUGGUAAAUUUACUUUGGGUUCUUCUGUGUUUAUAUUAUUUUUUAAUCUGCAUGACUGGGUUAACACUUUUGGGAACACUGAUUUUGGUUUCGUUUCGAUAUGGUUACAUGCAUCUGUAAAUGAUUUGGCUCUUUUCCCCUGUUUCUGAACAUCUCCCAAGAGCAAAAAUAAACAUUCUAAAUUUUGGGCACAGGAUGGCUCUUUUAAAGCCACUAGGGCAAUCGCCACCAGUUAAAACACUGGUCCAAACACCUGACUUAUCUGUCAGGAUUUACAGAAUUUUCUUUGCUCUUAAGAGAUUGAGAAGAAACAAAAUGGAAAUUCUCAAACAUUAAGGCAUGCCUGCUUUUCUGGGACUUCAGAAAGAAGUACAAUUCCUAACAGAAUAAUGCUAGCCCAGCACUUUGAGGGGACAACAAAGGACUAAGGAAAAAAAAUUGGACUUAAUAAUAGACUCCAGGUGGACUUAGCCUAAGUGCCACUCCCUUAAAGCCUCCCUGCCCUCAAAGGUGGCUAAAAGGGUUUUAACACUGACUUUUAGUUGCCAAUCACUCCUGCCAAUGCAGGAUGCAGGACCAGACCAAUAACCCGGGAAAGGUCUAUUCUGUCACCAAGGGACAAUCAAAGCCUAACUACAAGAUGAUUCAUCAUAGAUACUUUCGGAAAAACAUCUUCAUCAAGAGAGGGAAAGGUGAAAGCUGUCAGAAUCAAGAGUCAUGUUUCCAAAAGCCCUGACAAAUGGAGCCAGGGAAGUCCAUGAAGAGAGGGAUUUUACGCACUACCUCAAAGACCCAGAAGAAACCACGCCAGCUUGCACAAACACUAUUCGCAACCUUACACAGAAAAUACUUUUGGGACAUCUGCCUAGAAGCCGAUUGUCCAAACCCGAACUGGCAGCAUCCUUGUUAUUAAUCCUUGUAGCCAAGAAUAAUUAUUUCAAGACAAUUAUAUAAUCUUUAUCUGUCCUUUAAAAACCUGUCUUCCUUUACCUUCCUGAAUACACACAGUUUACUAUGGCAUGCAUAUUGCCUUCACAAUGCCCUAUUCCCAAAUAAACAUCAUUUUCUUUUAGAAAGCCUCUGUUAUUUAGGUUGACAGUUAUUACACCUGAAAACUAAAUUCUAGCUGAUCAAUAAAAUUCUUUGGUUCUACUGUAUACUUUUAUUUGGGGAUAUCUGCUUCCAAACACACUAAAGUACAGUAUACUCAAUUUUAAAUAUAGACAGUAUAUUUAAAAAAAACAUAAAAAGUAUGUCGAACAUUUUUAAUUUCAAACACCAAACUUAAAUAGACUAAUAACACAGAUCUUCUGUGGUCCACAAAUCAUGGCAAAAAACUUUGUUUUCAUAUGCCCAUUAUGGCUUGCUGACUGGCUUACUGCAUUUUAGAUUUUCCUUAUGA
This 3059-nucleotide long non-coding RNA is filed under the name Homo sapiens (human). Its description in RNAcentral is "HSALNT0250969". Lineage: Eukaryota; Metazoa; Chordata; Mammalia; Primates; Hominidae. The record is from RNAcentral.